CAUGCANUNUAGCGUCUCUUCGGAGAGAGCGGCUNACGGGUGAGUACGCGUGGGUAACCUGCCCUGUACACACGGAUAACAUACCGAAAGGUAUACUAAUACGGGAUAACAUANGAAAGUCGCAUGGCUUUUGUAUCAAAGCUCCGGCGGUACAGGAUGGACCCGCGUCUGAUUAGCUAGUUGGUAAGGUAAUGGCUUACCAAGGCAACGAUCAGUAGCCGACCUGAGAGGGUGAUCGGCCACACUGGGAACUGAGACACGGUCCAGACUCCUACGGGANGUCAGNAGUGGGGGAAUAUUGCACCAAUGGGCGAAACCUGAUGCAGCAACNCCGCGUGAGCGAUGAAGCCUUCGGGUCGUAANCUCUGUCCUCAAGAAGAUAAUGACGGUACUUGAGGGAGGAAGCCCCGGCUAACNNCCNCCCACCAGCCGCGGUAAUACGUAGGGGGCUAGCGUUAUCCGGAAUUACUGGGCGUAAAGGGUGCGUAGGUGGUUUUUUAAGUCAGAAGUGAAAGGCUACGGCUCAACCGUAGUAAGCUUUUGAAACUAGAGAACUUGAGUGCAGGAGAGGAGAGUAGAAUUCCUAGUGUAGCGGUGAAAUGCGUAGAUAUUAGGAGGAAUACCAGUAGCGAAGGCGGCUCUCUGGACUGUAACUGACACUGAGGCACGAAAGCGUGGGGAGCAAACAGGAUUAGAUACCCUGGUAGUCCACGCCGUAAACGAUGAGUACUAGGUGUCGGGGGUUACCCCCCUCGGUCCGCAGCUAACGCAUAAGACUCCGCC
RNAcentral lists this ribosomal RNA (783 nucleotides) under Clostridium sp. MT4P. RNAcentral's name for it is "bacterial SSU rRNA". It matches the Rfam family "Bacterial small subunit ribosomal RNA", at positions 54 to 873 of the family's 1533-position model. Lineage: Bacteria; Bacillati; Bacillota; Clostridia; Eubacteriales; Clostridiaceae. The record is from RNAcentral.